GUGCAAUUCAUUGUGAAUUGUUUUACACGUAACACUGUUGACUUGCGUCAGCAAACAAAACGGGCGCAUAUGGGAUUAAAUAAAACCGUGAUUGAAUCGCACAUUACCAACGAAGAAACGGCAACUGUACGAGGAACUGGAUGAACUCAGGCGGAAUCGGAGCAGAGAAAUAGCGAGGAUAGUUGAGGAGUGUCACGCGACGAAGCGAGCCACUUGCGAAGCUUUCCGCUCGAUGGUGGACGAGAAGCGGAGAAAGGGUACCAUUUUUCCCCAUAUAUUUUUCCCGAUGUAUCUCUAUAUUUCACGUCAAGAUUGCCGAGAGAAAUUUUCAUGAAGACAUUUUCAUAAGCUGCUGAGAUCAGUGAGGAGUCGCGCCGGUUGCGACUUGCGCUGAUAAAACAAAAAGAAGAGGACGCGCGCAAAAAGAUUCAUUUGAUACGCGAGAUCAAAGCAAGUCGAACAACGCGGCCGGAUCCCGUAGAAUCGAGCGGCUUGGGAUUCCUGUGCGAGGUGUCCAUGACCGAGGUUCGCCCUGCCAUAAAUCGCGAGGUUGACUUUUGCGGGCUUCCUGACGUGGAAACGAGCGCAAACUGCAGAUUUUUUGCGGUUACAGCUGGGAAAGAAAGUGCUGUCCGCAAAGGCGAGGCUGAAGGAGGAAGCCGAGCGUCGGAAUACCGUCAUCCGUCAGGAACACGAGAGGAGGAGAAAUUUAAUGAGAAGCAAUCAGCAAUUCCUCGAACGAUAUAAAGCCACCAGACAAGCGAUUUAUUCGUCGAGUAAUAGCCAAGCCGCUAUUAUUGAUUUCCCGGAGAUUGAACGUCUUUGGAGAGCAUUGAAGGAACGGAAGACGUGCAGAUGUGAAGAACAGAAGAGAUGAUAAUUCAAUGAUAAUUCGUGUGAUCCGAGAAAUUCUUGAAUCGGGAAACAGCAUUAUUCAUGAGUGAUAACAUUAAAAAAUAUUCUCUGUUAAAUUACUUUGUCAUGUAUUCUUACUUAUUACUGCUAAAUUAAACAAAUAAUAGUAUAUGGGCGUAUUUACCUCAGUAUAUCAAUCUUAUUAGAAGCAAACAGUUUUCAAGACAGAAGUAUUAUUAAAAGUCAUUAUUUUUAAGUACCGGUUUUAUUCAAGGAAAAAAAAACGACAUAUUGAUGCGUAGUAAAAAACUAAAUAACUAGCCUAGAAAUAACUUGGAGUUAUUACUGUCCGUCAUAAAGAAUAAGAACAUAUAUCUUUUUUGCAAUUUUUGCAAUUGGCAUGAGCAAUAUUUUCUGUAAUAGUUGUAGAAUGUUCCGACGAAUUAAUAGAUAUAUUCAAGCCCGUUCCUAGACACACACACAUAUUCACACGAAUAACACGGCUAUUGUCUCCGCUCGCCUCGGUAUUUUCACAACAUGUUUGUCUCAUUUUCGCGGACUCAACGUUCCCUUUCAAGGAAAUCGAAGCAUUCGCAAACGAGAGUUCACACGCACAGGCGGUCGCGGGCAGCUCUAGAGAAUAAAAUCUCAAGUUCGUACAAACGCUCAGAUUGCAGUAUCAGUGCCAUUCUCAUCCUCCAUCCCACUCAAAAGUCCCUCCAACUAUUAACAUAGAAAAAUAUUGGUUGUGCUGCAAAUAUGCAAAAUAAAAUAUUUUUCUAUGUAUAAGCAUCCAUACACACACAAAAGCUUCGUGCAACGUUCACAUUUGCAAUUUACAAUUUUUGCAAGUGAUAUCGGAUAUGUUCAAUCAUUUACUCGGAUUGAUUGAAUCGAGGCACUUAUUUUAAUGUAUCGCACAGAUAAACUCGCUGACAGAGCAGCGAGCGACUUUCGCCGAGAUUAAUGAGCGCAGAAUUAGAUGUGCUUUAUGGUUGAAGAAUCGCGGCGUGUAAAUGUUACGUUACAUCGGCGUUGUUACGCAUAAUCAUUUCGAUUCUACUGCAUCAUUGCUAGGAUGCCUCUACUUCGGCACACUUUUCUAUCUUAUGCAUUACCAACUUAAAGAGUGAACGAGGAAACUCGAGAGAAACGUGCCGGAAGCGGGAAGGAACAAGAACAAGGAGACGUUUUUUUCAAUCAAUCAAAUUUAAUUAGUGAAUGAGCAAGUUUUGCGGUAUCUACACGCUGCAAAGACAAGGCGAUAAGAUCGGUUCCAGCAGUUAUGAAGAACAUGCAGCUGAAGGUGAUUGAUUCUACCAAUAACCAAAUGAAUCCACUGGCUCUGAAUCAGGUUGGAUCUCACAUAGCAACAAUCUCGAUUACUAUGACAAGGACAGUGAAGUCUACAUAUUAGGAUCAAGGAGAUCAAGAUCAAGGACUGCUUCUAUCCCACCGAAAUCGAGAGCUAUUCUGCAGUUCAUGAGACUGUUCAUGAGACGCGCAAUUUGACAAUAAACACUCUGUCGCCUUCGGAUCGAAGAUAUCCAGACAG
Ooceraea biroi (clonal raider ant) is the source of this 2410-nucleotide RNA transcript. RefSeq lists it as uncharacterized. Lineage: Eukaryota; Metazoa; Arthropoda; Insecta; Hymenoptera; Formicidae. The record is from RefSeq and is a predicted model, not a curated record.